UAUUAAAGGCAACGCCUGCCCAGUGAAUAAUUAAACGGCCGCGGUACCCUAACCGUGCAAAGGUAGCGUAAUCAUUUGUCUAUUAAUUGUAGACCCGUAUGAAAGGCAUAAUGAGGGUCUAACUGUCUCUUUUAGUAAAUCAAUUAAACUGAUCUCCUAGUCCAAAAGCUAGGAUGUUAACAUAAGACCAGAAGACCCUGUGAAGCUUUAACUAGACUAUUAAAUCUCAUAUUAGCUCCUUUCGGUUGGGGCGACCUUGGAAAAAAAAAGAACUUCCAAAACAAUAUACAUACAUAUAAUCACCUAGGCUGACAAGCCUAUCAAUUGACCCAGCAUAGCUGAUAAUUGAAACAAGUUACUCCAGGGAUAACAGCGCUAUCUUCUUCAAGAGCCCAUAUCAAAAAGAAGGUUUACGACCUCGAUGUUGGAUCAGGACAUCCUAAUGGUGCAGCCGCUAUUAASGGUUCGUUUGUUCAACGAUUAACA
RNAcentral lists this ribosomal RNA (486 nucleotides) under Toxicocalamus longissimus (Woodlark or Fergusson Island forest snake). RNAcentral's name for it is "partial 16S ribosomal RNA". It matches the Rfam family "Bacterial large subunit ribosomal RNA", at positions 1844 to 2593 of the family's 2925-position model. The record is from RNAcentral. Lineage: Eukaryota; Metazoa; Chordata; Lepidosauria; Squamata; Elapidae.